CUCUGUCAAAUAAUCAAGUCGCCUGCGCUUGUCUUUGACACAAGACGGACCGGACCGGACGAAAAUCGAUUUGUGUUGUGUGGUGUUGUGGAGUUACUUCUCGACGGCAUAAGACGACACUGGAAAGGUGUAUUUGAAGCAGCAGCGUUUUAACUGGUUCUGUCUAGACCACGGACAAGCUUUUGACUGCGGUAUAUCACGCGCUGGAGUAUUUCUUGGAUUCUUCACAUAUUUUGGACUAAGCCCGCACCGCAAGAUGAAAGUCAAGGAGACGGUUAAGAAAAUUCCGGGUUGGACAUGUAUGUUGGCAGGAGGGCUAGUGGUAGUGAUUUUGUCUACCAUAGCAUGGCGGACAGGGUACGUUCACGAAAAUCCGCAAAAACCGAUUCAAGAAUCACCAACAAACUACCAUACCGAACCGCGUCUACAACACCACAAUGAUUCGAUGGUACCUCCCGAUGAAGACGCGACGGUUGAAACGCUGGAUGACUUUGGGUUCACUGAACACACUAGUGAACAUGCCGACGAUCGGGAGUUCUUGCUCAGCGAAAGCUAGGCAAUGAACUCCGAAAUCCGCCAUUCCACAUCACCACAUCAACACCUCUUCCAAAAAGCAAACCAUCAAAUCAUUCUUUUCAACAUACAACCCUGAACGUACGCAAAACAGCUCCUGGAUCUUCACGACAUCGGUUGGUGAAUACAUCAUCACUGACCCUAGUGAACGACCUGUCAUCCGACCAUCAGCCUGCCCUCUUCAGCGUGGCCGUAGUCGUGCCCUUCAACGCUUCCUGCCAGAUGCUUCAACAGUGCGAACUGGCCAGCCUUCCAGCGCAUCGUGGACAGCCCGUGCCGUGCUUCGUCGCUGGAGAUUUGAUCUCGGCAGUGAUCCAGACGAAUUGGUCCGCAAUUCUACCCCUGGCGAUCCGGACACGUCCAGACCCUUUCCGUCCGAAUUAGUACCAGUCAUCCGCACGGAUCAUCGCUGUCGCUGAAGCCGAAGAAGACGACAACAUCCUGAACACGCAUGUCUGAGGACAUUGUACUUUCCGUCCAGCUGGAAGCACGCCAUCGUCCCGGCAAUCCCAAAGCCGGGCAAUACAUCAUGGCAUCCCACCAGCUACCGUCCGAUCAGCCUGCUUCCUGUGGUGCUACGUCGAGCAAUGGUCGAUGGUGCGCUCUGGACACUGGAUUAGUCGCUGCGGACAAAAGUGCUGAAGUAAUCGUCGAGAUGCUGCAGGCGGCCCACUGUCGGCAAAAGUGGGGAAUCCCGCAAGCCGGUGGAAACCUUCUCAUGGACAAAGGCGAGCUACUGGACGGGUGACAGAAGUUCUUCAACGAGCGUCGAUAGAAAGCCCAACUUGGACCUUCCACAGUUGGCAGAUCCUCAAGAAAUAUCGUGAGUACAACAUGCCCACACAUCACAUCUUCAUCAAUUCCAAGGCAGCGUACGAUACAGUCGACCGCAAACAGCUGUGGCAGAUGAUGCACUAGAACGGAUUCCUGCGAGUUGUAAAACCAAGCAGCUAACUAGGGUAUUUGUCCCUAUUUUGGGCCUACUAAGCAGAACGCACUUUUAAUUUGAUGCAUUCUCAAAGGCUUCUAUUGGCAGCCUAGUUUGUUAUACAAGAAUAAGUUGAUUUUUUAAUGCUUAAGCUCGUACAUUAUCAACAUUUUGAUAAAAAUACAUUAUAUCGCUGUAAAAGCACGAAAAACUAAAACACUUUUUGCCCCUAUUUUGGGGAUAUUGCUCCUAGCAUACGACCUUCUUUGUGCAUAUUGUCGGCCUACCUUCUGAUUGGUUGAAAUCUCGAAGCACGUGGCGAACUUUUUUGACGUACGGUUCAUCCCCAGCUCGUACAGUACAGCCGCACAAAUUCGGUCGACAAAUAUGCUAAAUCAUUGUGAUUUUUUAAGCCACAAAUAAACAUUAGAAUGAUUGAUUUCACUUGCAUUACGUGCAUAAUUAGCUUGGACAUGAUUUAUAUCAUUCUUUACGAGUUUUAAACAUAAUUAAACAAUUGUUGCGUAGCCAAACAUCAAGCUCGUAAUAUGCUAGAAAGACUGUAAAAUUCGAGAAGCGCACACACACUGGCACAGUUUGUAGAAUUGUCAAAUGUACCGAAAAUAUAUCCAUUUCUCUCCGAUAUGGACGAAGCAACUUUAAUUAGUUAUUUUAUUGAUUUGGUGGCAGUUUAGUGAUUGUUUUUGCAAUGGGAUUGUGCAACACAUUGCCGGUGGUUGGAGAUUCGGGGGACGGCUCUCAUUCGUGUGCUGAGCGAUGAACGCCUUGACGCUGAGUGCCAAGAAGCGGUAAGCAAAAGUGCUGAAAAUUGGGCAAUGGGCAAUGGGCAAGUUGCAAUUUGCUAA
Culex quinquefasciatus (southern house mosquito) is the source of this 2367-nucleotide long non-coding RNA. RefSeq lists it as uncharacterized. The transcript is spliced from 3 exons. The record is from RefSeq and is a predicted model, not a curated record. NCBI's taxonomy places the organism in Eukaryota, Metazoa, Arthropoda, Insecta, Diptera, Culicidae.